Molecule: ribosomal RNA, 254 nt
Filed under: uncultured bacterium
Lineage: Bacteria
Description: partial 16S ribosomal RNA
Rfam family: Bacterial small subunit ribosomal RNA
Source: RNAcentral
CACGUAGGGUGCGAGCGUUGUCCGGAAUUAUUGGGCGUAAAGAGCUCGUAGGCGGUGUGUCGCGUCGGCCGUGAAAACCUGCAGCUUAACUGUGGGCUUGCGGUCGAUACGGGCAUCACUGGAGUUCGGCAGGGGAGACUGGAAUUCCUGGUGUAGCGGUGAAAUGCGCAGAUAUCAGGAGGAACACCGGUGGCGAAGGCGGGUCUCUGGGCCGGUACUGACGCUGAGGAGCGAAAGCGUGGGGAGCAAACAGG